Molecule: ribosomal RNA, 498 nt
Filed under: uncultured bacterium
Lineage: Bacteria
Description: partial 16S ribosomal RNA
Rfam family: Bacterial small subunit ribosomal RNA
Source: RNAcentral
GACGAACGCUGGCGGCGUGCCUAAUACAUGCAAGUUGAGCGCUGAAGGUUGGUACUUGUACCAACUGGAUGAGCAGCGAACGGGUGAGUAACGCGUGGGGAAUCUGCCUUUGAGCGGGGGACAACAUUUGGAAACGAAUGCUAAUACCGCAUAAAAACUUUAAACACAAGUUUUAAGUUUGAAAGAUGCAAUUUGCAUCACUCAAAGAUGAUCCCGCGUUGUAUUAGCUAGUUGGUGAGGUAAAGGCUCACCAAGGCGAUGAUACAUAGCCGACCUGAGAGGGUGAUCGGCCACAUUGGGACUGAGACACGGCCCAAACUCCUACGGGAGGCAGCAGUAGGGAAUCUUCGGCAAUGGACGAAAGUCUGACCGAGCAACGCCGAGUGAGGGAAGAAGGUUGUCGGAUCGUAAAACUCUGUUGGUAGAGAAGAACGUUGGUGAGAGUGGAAAGCUCAUCAAGUGACGGUAACUACCCAGAAAGGGACGGCUAACUACGUG